Molecule: ribosomal RNA, 774 nt
Filed under: uncultured Neocallimastigales
Lineage: Eukaryota; Fungi; Neocallimastigomycota; Neocallimastigomycetes; Neocallimastigales
Description: partial large subunit ribosomal RNA
Rfam family: Eukaryotic large subunit ribosomal RNA
Source: RNAcentral
AGAGAUGUGUGAUGACGCAUAUCAAUAAGCGGAGGAAAAGGAACUAACAAGGAUUCCCUUAGUAACGGCGAGUGAAGCGGGAAGAGCUCAAAUUUGAAAUCUUCAAGGUUCUACCUUGACGAAUUGUAGUUUAUAGAAGUGUUUUCUGUUAGUAGAGUGGCAAAAGUUCUUUGGAAUAGGACAUCAUAGAGGGUGAGAAUCCCGCAUUUGGUCAUUCUUUCUAGCUUUGUGAUACACUUUCAACGAGUCGGAUUGUUUGGGAAUGCAGUCCAAAAUGGGUGGUAAAUUUCAUCUAAAGCUAAAUAUUGGCGAGAGACCGAUAGCGAACAAGUACCGUGAGGGAAAGAUGAAAAGAACUUUGAAAAGAGAGUUAAACAGUACGUGAAAUUGUCAAAAGGGAAGCGUUUGACACCAGUGUUGUUUUUCCGAAAAUCAAUUACGAAUGUUUUGUUUUUGAGAAGUUAUGACUUCAUCGGCUUGCUUCUCUCUUUACGAAACUUCCUUAAUGCACUUUUCGGUUAACAAGUCAACAUCAAUUUCUUUUGUUGUAAAAGGGUAUGAGGAAGGUGGCUUUCUUUUCGGAGAAAGUGUUUAUAGCCUUGUACCUCUGCAAUCGGAGAGAUUGAGGUCUGCAGCGUAGAUCCUUCGGGGUUAGAUACAUUUGUGCUAAGUUAUAGCUUUUCAUAGACAACUUGUUGACUAUGUUAAGUCUUGUAGCUUACUCGCUUAUGCUAUUUUACCUACGCUUAGGAUGUUGAUCUGUAGUGCGUGCGC